This 603-nucleotide long non-coding RNA is filed under the name Fukomys damarensis (Damara mole-rat). Its description in RNAcentral is "lncRNA (ENSFDAG00000025673.1)". The record is from RNAcentral. Lineage: Eukaryota; Metazoa; Chordata; Mammalia; Rodentia; Bathyergidae.
CUUCUGAUAGAGUCACAGUCACUCUGACUUCAGGAAACAGAAUCCUCCUUGGCAGCUGGGGUGCGCCUGUAGAUAUCCCUGCUUCCUAGCAGAGAUACCAUACUGUGAAAUACAUGCUUAGAAAAUUUUGAGUGUUUUCCAAGGAGGAAAAGCAGAAGCCACUUUAAAAAUGAGCUUUAUUUGCUAAAUUAGAAAACUAUACUAUUCAAGAGCACUAAUAGUAUUGAUUAGGGAGAGGAGAGAAAGAGUUGGACCCAAGCUUGUCUUUCUUGUCUCUCAGUACCAUACGGUGAAGAAAAGCUGGAGUAAGAUCAGAAAGAAGAGCUGCACUCGGAAAGCUCGUAGAGAUUGCUGGGAAGAAGGGGAGGGGACUGAUGAUCUGGCUUCAUUUCUACAAAGGUGAGAAACUUUCCACUUCUCUCUGUGUCUGCUUCCUAUUGGGGGCUAUGAUGUAAACUCAGGAACUUGGGCUGAGCUGGGGGAGGAGGGGACACCCCAGGUUAGAGUGGAGUGUGACUAAAGCCCUGGGUCCAGGGGUUUUGUAGAAUUAGGGUGUGGGGCAUUGGAAGGGCCAUAGACAGCAGUUGUCCUCCCCUUCCCAGC